AGCCCAUGGCCUUUAUUGUAGCAGCCCAGCUCUACACAAUCAGGCGGCAUUUGUCAUUCCGGCCGCAGCGACGGCGGUGCUAUGGGUUGCGCCGCCGCCAUCUUCAUCCAGUGUUGGUUUCUCGAGCGGCACCAGUAAUUUUAAAUUUUCUUCUGGCAGGGAGAAUACGAGUGAGAUCCUCAAUUGUUUUCGUCGGAGUACGGCAACGAUGACAUCAGCAUGAUGAUGUGGACGAAAACUCGAUACCCUGCAAUUAACUCGCCGUUUCUGUAUUGUUUCAUCCGCAAAAAAGUAGAAAUAACAACGGUAGAUAGGAUUUGGCCGUAGAUCGCUACCUCACAGAAUAUUCCUUGUCGAUUUGCCACUCAAAACUUCCAGAAUCUCUGGACUACAUUUGGCUUUUCUCGCCAUUGUUUUCAUGCCUAUAAAUAGGAGUCGUGUUCACUAUUAUUAAACGAAGAAAUCAAGAACAAAUCGAGUACCUGAUCUUCGCUCCGCGAAUCUGGGAUUUCGAGCAAUAACUGCAGGAAAUUCGAAAUCGUACGUCGAUUUGAACGAGAGAUUGGAAUUGGAGGAUGCUAAAGAGUUGGGGAAAGAUCUGCAGAUUGAUCUGCGUGAAGAUGAAGAAGGAUUCGGAGGCUUUCAAGAUUUUAGGGAGUCAUAUUAUCUAAAAAUAUAAAUACUAGUUUGGUAGAAAUCUUUUGUUGUAAAGAAAAC
This is a non-coding RNA of Erythranthe guttata (spotted monkey flower), 717 nucleotides long. NCBI's taxonomy places the organism in Eukaryota, Viridiplantae, Streptophyta, Magnoliopsida, Lamiales, Phrymaceae. The record is from RefSeq and is a predicted model, not a curated record.